Molecule: ribosomal RNA, 423 nt
Filed under: uncultured bacterium
Lineage: Bacteria
Description: bacterial SSU rRNA
Rfam family: Bacterial small subunit ribosomal RNA
Source: RNAcentral
UAAGGAAUAUUGGUCAAUGGACGAGAGUCUGAACCAGCCAUGCCGCGUGAAGGAUGAAGGCCCUCUGGGUUGUAAACUUCUUUUAUCUGGGACGAAAAAAGGGGAAUCAUCCUCACUUGACGGUACCAGAGGAAUAAGCACCGGCUAACUCCGUGCCAGCAGCCGCGGUAAUACGGAGGGUGCAAGCGUUAUCCGGAUUUACUGGGUUUAAAGGGUGCGUAGGUGGGCGAGAAAGUCAGUGGUGAAAUCUCCGGGCUUAACCCGGAAACUGCCAUUGAUACUAUUUGUCUUGAAUACUUUGGAGGUAAGCGGAAUAUGUCAUGUAGCGGUGAAAUGCUUAGAUAUGACAUAGAACACCAAUUGCGAAGGCAGCUUACUACACAGAAAUUGACACUGAGGCACGAAAGCGUGGGGAUCAAACAG